AGCGAACGCUGGCGGCGUGCCUAACACAUGCAAGUCGAACGUGAAAGGGAGCAAUCCCAAGUAAAGUGGCGUACGGGUGAGUAACACGUAGGUAAUCUACCCCAGAAUCUGGAAUAACCGGCCGAAAGGCUGGCUAAUACUGGAUAGAGCGACGGAAUCCGUAAUUGGGUUUUUCGGGAAAGGGAGCCUGUAAAAAGGCCUUCGUUCUGGGAUGAGCCUGCGUCCCAUCAGCUAGUUGGUGAGGUAAAAGCUUACCAAGGCAAUGACGGGUAGCUGGUCUGAGAGGACGAUCAGCCACACUGGAACUGAAACACGGUCCAGACUCCUACGGGAGGCAGCAGUGGGGAAUCUUGCGCAAUGGACGAAAGUCUGACGCAGCAACGCCGCGUGAGUGAAGAAGGACUUCGGGUUGUAAAGCUCUGUCGAGUGGGACGAAAAUGCUUGGAGUUCACAGCUCCAGGAACUGACGGUACCACUAAAGGAAGCACCGGCUAACUCCGUG
RNAcentral lists this ribosomal RNA (502 nucleotides) under uncultured bacterium. Its description in RNAcentral is "partial 16S ribosomal RNA". It matches the Rfam family "Bacterial small subunit ribosomal RNA", at positions 29 to 507 of the family's 1533-position model. The record is from RNAcentral.